Molecule: unclassified non-coding RNA, 329 nt
Filed under: Hevea brasiliensis (rubber tree)
Lineage: Eukaryota; Viridiplantae; Streptophyta; Magnoliopsida; Malpighiales; Euphorbiaceae
Source: RNAcentral
UAUUCCAGUCUAUUGGUGUCCUGAAGAAUAGAGGCAAUAAAAAACAAACAUGAAUUAAUCACAUUAUCAACCAGUAUUUGAAGAAAAACUUGUACACCUCAACAUAUAUGGACCCAAAAAAUAGAGUAUUAAAUAACAUGUAUAGAAAAGCACAAGGCUUCCUUUCACUCACAAAUCACAAUCAUUGAGCAUGCCACUUCUUUCAGCACACUCAGUAUGUGAUAGCAAAAUAAUAAAAUUUAAUUUUGUUUAAAUACAGCCACAUAUAUGGUGUGAUCAUGCAUCGCAUGCAUCACAACUGCCACUGCCACUCAAUUCGAGAUUCAAAA